This is a long non-coding RNA of Spinacia oleracea (spinach), 598 nucleotides long. RefSeq lists it as uncharacterized. The record is from RefSeq and is a predicted model, not a curated record. The transcript has 2 exons. NCBI's taxonomy places the organism in Eukaryota, Viridiplantae, Streptophyta, Magnoliopsida, Caryophyllales, Amaranthaceae.
AGCAGUAUUAGUUGGUACUGGGCCUAUUGGCAAUGAAACCCGCAAAUUUCGCGUUGAUAUUGAAAUAGAAACUUUCACAUCUCAUCUGGAUGAUGGAUGAUGGAUGAUGGCUGAUGGGUGUGUUUGAAUUCUUUCAAGUUCCAAAUUUAUUACGGAGUAGUUGGUUUCUUGAUCUUUGUAUUAGAGCAUCUUCAACGGUAAAUGCAAUCCCGAAUUAGUAAGAAUCUGAAUUUAAGUUUAAUUAGAACCAAAAAAAUAAAUUGCGUCUAAAUAAUGCUAUCAAAUUUGUUGCCUGGCGCAGGUAGCAACAAAGCGUGGCGUUUUGGAAAACACUACUUACACCACUAAUCACUACUACCAGUCUACCACUAGUCCUACUCCUACUCCUACUCCUACUCCGUACUACAUUUCCAAAUUUUCUUUGAAGCGGUGUCUUAAUUUGGUCAAACCGGUACGACGUACAAGUUAUCUAAAAGCUACUGUAAUACCGAACCCGAGACCAGUACUUAGAAGAAGAGAAAAUGUUGUGUUCAUACACAUAAAAUAAAAUGGUAUGAACUAUGAAGUACUCCGUAUAUAUUUACUCAUUCCUUGGUCU